RNAcentral lists this transfer RNA (73 nucleotides) under Ovis aries (sheep). It matches the Rfam family "tRNA". Rfam says of the family: Transfer RNA (tRNA) molecules are approximately 80 nucleotides in length. Their secondary structure includes four short double-helical elements and three loops (D, anti-codon, and T loops). Further hydrogen bonds mediate the characteristic L-shaped molecular structure. tRNAs have two regions of fundamental functional importance: the anti-codon, which is responsible for specific mRNA codon recognition, and the 3' end, to which the tRNAs corresponding amino acid is attached (by aminoacyl-tRNA synthetases). tRNAs cope with the degeneracy of the genetic code in two manners: having more than one tRNA (with a specific anti-codon) for a particular amino acid; and 'wobble' base-pairing, i.e. permitting non-standard base-pairing at the 3rd anti-codon position. Lineage: Eukaryota; Metazoa; Chordata; Mammalia; Artiodactyla; Bovidae. The record is from Rfam by way of RNAcentral.
UUCUUGGCAGUCCAGUGGUUAAGUCUCUGCACUUUCACUGCAGGGGGCCUGGGUUCAAUCCCUGGUCAGGGAA